AAGACCACACAAACAAUCACAAUAUACAAAAUCACAAAAUAUGGUCAAAAUGGACAAAGUAAAAAUGACAUUAGCAUAAACAAUUUGAAUGGUAUGAAUAAUGGCAAAUGAAUAAAGCUUAAAAAUUAAAGUGCAUUAAAAGUAAAUGACUUGAAAUUAAAUGUUAGUUGUUAAUGAGUUAGUAGUUAGUAUAGUUUUUGCUUUUGUUUAAGUCAUUCUUUGGAGAACACUCGACCCACUUAUCACAAGCAUGGAUCCUUGAUCCAAG
Molecule: long non-coding RNA, 268 nt
Filed under: Lathyrus oleraceus (garden pea)
Lineage: Eukaryota; Viridiplantae; Streptophyta; Magnoliopsida; Fabales; Fabaceae
Description: Pisum sativum (pea) long non-coding RNA (PSAT_LNC024367)
Source: RNAcentral